Molecule: long non-coding RNA, 258 nt
Filed under: Lathyrus oleraceus (garden pea)
Lineage: Eukaryota; Viridiplantae; Streptophyta; Magnoliopsida; Fabales; Fabaceae
Description: Pisum sativum (pea) long non-coding RNA (PSAT_LNC016482)
Source: RNAcentral
GAAAGCUCUGCUAUUCUUUUCCUUUCCCAUUAUAUCAUUAUUUUUUUUAUAUUAUUUUUCUUUCUUUCUUUUAUUUCUAUGGAUGCCACAUGUCUUCCUGUGAAUGGGAAGUUUAUUUUAUUUAAAACAAAACCAUGUGAUUAAGAAAUUUUGGCUGGCAGAUGCUAAGAUGGGGCACCUCCCCACGCUUUUGGUUUUAUUGUUAUACAUUUUCCUUUUUUUAAUUUUAGUUAGUUAUUUUAUUUUUUUUAGUUUAUU